UUAAGCGACUAAGCGUACACGGUGGAUGCCCUGGCAGUCAGAGGCGAUGAAGGACGUGCUAAUCUGCGAUAAGCGUCGGUAAGGUGAUAUGAACCGUUAUAACCGGCGAUUUCCGAAUGGGGAAACCCAGUGCAAUUCGUUGCACUAUCGUUAAGUGAAUACAUAGCUUAACGAAGCGAACCGGGGGAACUGAAACAUCUAAGUACCCCGAGGAAAAGAAAUCAACCGAGAUUCCCCCAGUAGCGGCGAGCGAACGGGGAGCAGCCCAGAACCUGAAUCAGUUUGUGUGUUAGUGGAAGCGUCUGGAAAGUCGCAGGGUACAGGGUGAUACUCCCGUACACUAAAAUGCACAGGCUGUGAGUUCGAAGAGUAGGGCGGGACACGUGGUAUCCUGUCUGAAUAUGGGGGGACCAUCCUCCAAGGCUAAAUACUCCUGACUGACCGAUAGUGAACCAGUACCGUGAGGGAAAGGCGAAAAGAACCCCGGCGAGGGGAGUGAAAAAGAACCUGAAACCGUGUACGUACAAGCAGUGGGAGCCUCUUUAUGGGGUGACUGCGUACCUUUUGUAUAAUGGGUCAGCGACUUAUAUUCUGUAGCAAGGUUAACCGCAUAGGGGAGCCGCAGGGAAACCGAGUCUUAACUGGGCGUUAAGUUGCAGGGUAUAGACCCGAAACCCGGUGAUCUAGCCAUGGGCAGGUUGAAGGUUGGGUAACACUAACUGGAGGACCGAACCGACUAAUGUUGAAAAAUUAGCGGAUGACUUGUGGCUGGGGGUGAAAGGCCAAUCAAACCGGGAGAUAGCUGGUUCUCCCCGAAAGCUAUUUAGGUAGCGCCUCGUGAAUUCAUCUUCGGGGGUAGAGCACUGUUUCGGCUAGGGGGUCAUCCCGACUUACCAAUCCGAUGCAAACUACGAAUACCGAAGAAUGUUAUCACGGGAGACACACGGCGGGUGCUAACGUCCGUCGUGAAGAGGGAAACAACCCAGACCGCCAGCUAAGGUCCCAAAGUCAUGGUUAAGUGGGAAACGAUGUGGGAAGGCACAGACAGCCAGGAUGUUGGCUUAGAAGCAGCCAUCAUUUAAAGAAAGCGUAAUAGCUCACUGGUCGAGUCGGCCUGCGCGGAAGAUGUAACGGGGCUAAACCAUGCACCGAAGCUGCGGCAGCGACGCGUAUGCGUUGUUGGGUAGGGGAGCGUUCUGUAAGCCGUUGAAGGUGGCCUGUGAGGGUUGCUGGAGGUAUCAGAAGUGCGAAUGCUGACAUAAGUAACGAUAAAGCGGGUGAAAAGCCCGCUCGCCGGAAGACCAAGGGUUCCUGUCCAACGUUAAUCGGGGCAGGGUGAGUCGACCCCUAAGGCGAGGCCGAAAGGCGUAGUCGAUGGGAAACAGGUUAAUAUUCCUGUACUCGGUGUUACUGCGAAGGGGGGACGGAGAAGGCUAUGUUGGCCGGGCGACGGUUGUCCCGGUUUAAGCAUGUAGGCGGAGGUUCCAGGUAAAUCCGGUACCUUAUUAACGCUGAGGUGUGAUGACGAGGCACUACGGUGCUGAAGUGACAAAUGCCCUGCUUCCAGGAAAAGCCUCUAAGCAUCAGGUAACAUCAAAUCGUACCCCAAACCGACACAGGUGGUCAGGUAGAGAAUACCAAGGCGCUUGAGAGAACUCGGGUGAAGGAACUAGGCAAAAUGGUGCCGUAACUUCGGGAGAAGGCACGCUGAUGGUAGGUGAAGCGACUUGCUCGUGGAGCUGAACUCAGUCGAAGAUACCAGCUGGCUGCAACUGUUUAUUAAAAACACAGCACUGUGCAAACACGAAAGUGGACGUAUACGGUGUGACGCCUGCCCGGUGCCGGAAGGUUAAUUGAUGGGGUUAUCCGUAAGGAGAAGCUCUUGAUCGAAGCCCCGGUAAACGGCGGCCGUAACUAUAACGGUCCUAAGGUAGCGAAAUUCCUUGUCGGGUAAGUUCCGACCUGCACGAAUGGCGUAAUGAUGGCCAGGCUGUCUCCACCCGAGACUCAGUGAAAUUGAACUCGCUGUGAAGAUGCAGUGUACCCGCGGCAAGACGGAAAGACCCCGUGAACCUUUACUAUAGCUUGACACUGAACACUGGUCCUUGAUGUGUAGGAUAGGUGGGAGGCUUUGAAGUGUGGACGCCAGUCUGCAUGGAGCCGACCUUGAAAUACCACCCUUUAAUGGCUGGUGUUCUAACGUAGACCCGUCAUCCGGGUUGCGGACAGUGUCUGGUGGGUAGUUUGACUGGGGCGGUCUCCUCCCAAAGAGUAACGGAGGAGCACGAAGGUUAGCUAAUCCUGGUCGGACAUCAGGAGGUUAGUGCAAUGGCAUAAGCUAGCUUGACUGCGAGCGUGACGGCGCGAGCAGGUGCGAAAGCAGGUCAUAGUGAUCCGGUGGUUCUGAAUGGAAGGGCCAUCGCUCAACGGAUAAAAGGUACUCCGGGGAUAACAGGCUGAUACCGCCCAAGAGUUCAUAUCGACGGCGGUGUUUGGCACCUCGAUGUCGGCUCAUCACAUCCUGGGGCUGAAGUAGGUCCCAAGGGUAUGGCUGUUCGCCAUUUAAAGUGGUACGCGAGCUGGGUUUAGAACGUCGUGAGACAGUUCGGUCCCUAUCUGCCGUGGGCGCUGGAGAAUUGAGGGGGGCUGCUCCUAGUACGAGAGGACCGGAGUGGACGCAUCACUGGUGUUCGGGUUGUCAUGCCAAUGGCAUUGCCCGGUAGCUAAAUGCGGAAGAGAUAAGUGCUGAAAGCAUCUAAGCACGAAACUUGCCCCGAGAUGAGUUCUCCCUGACUCCUUGAGAGUCCUGAAGGAACGUUGAAGACGACGACGUUGAUAGGUCGGGUGUGUAAGCGUAGCGAUACGUUGAGCUAACCGAUACUAAUGAACCGUGAGGCUUAACCUU
Molecule: ribosomal RNA, 2905 nt
Filed under: Klebsiella electrica
Lineage: Bacteria; Pseudomonadati; Pseudomonadota; Gammaproteobacteria; Enterobacterales; Enterobacteriaceae
Description: Raoultella electrica 23S ribosomal RNA
Rfam family: Bacterial large subunit ribosomal RNA
Source: RNAcentral